GAGCGGGUAUAUUUACAGGCGUACGUUUCCUCGUCUGUCUAUUUUCUCGGAUAGUGAUGUAAAACGGAUCUGUGGGCGACGUGGAGAGGAGGCGGUAGAGAACAGGGGAAAAGGAAGUGUCGAGUGGUACCGGGCAGGGCGGGGUGGGAAUGACGUUCAACGGGGAUACGAGCGGUGUUUGGAAAACCAGACAGGCGGAGCCGUAGUUCGGGCAAACCGAGUGAUGACGACGACGACUCCCCGCUGAGUUGGUAGCGGUUGCAUUACUUUGAUCACCGGGCGCAUUAAACGAAA
Molecule: unclassified non-coding RNA, 294 nt
Filed under: Athalia rosae (coleseed sawfly)
Lineage: Eukaryota; Metazoa; Arthropoda; Insecta; Hymenoptera; Athaliidae
Description: misc RNA ENSAEAG00005001851.1
Source: RNAcentral